GAUGCAAACUUCACUUCCUCCCCUCCGAACGAGAGCUCAGGGCUCUGCUUUUCUUCCCCGCAGUCGCACAGGAUUCAAGAGCUCGAACUCCGAGAGAUGCAAUAAGCGAUUGUGUUACGAGUCUCUGGCAGCGCCAAAUCCGCGAGCACGGGAUGGUGCAGACAGGAGAGUGCACCUCUGACAACUCAGGUAAUGGAAGGUCUUACCUGGAUCUUCCCUGAUGAGGCUUGGAAUUUAGCAAAGGAAAAAGAUACCUGUAGACUUGUCAGUGGGUACUGAACCGUAUUGGGAGGGUAGGAGGAAUCUGAAGAAGAUUUUCAAGCACUAAGCAUAAAAAUAAAUGGCAACAUAAAACCCGUGUGAAGAAGGAAGAAAAGCGUUUAUGUUUGUUAUAUUUCCAGAUACAGAUAUUUGCAUCCAAUAACCCUCACAGUCGUGCUCAUGGUACGUGGCUUUGUAAUCAAAAAUAAUUUGGGAUGAGGCAAAGUAAGCACCUCAAGUUUCUGAAAACAUUCCCAGUUUAACAUCACACAUAGUUGCUGUGUGAUAAGAACACGAAUGUGUGGGAGGCCUUUC
Molecule: long non-coding RNA, 576 nt
Organism: Empidonax traillii (willow flycatcher)
Lineage: Eukaryota; Metazoa; Chordata; Aves; Passeriformes; Tyrannidae
Exons: 2
Source: RefSeq, a predicted model, not a curated record